Molecule: transfer RNA, 69 nt
Filed under: Lomis hirta
Lineage: Eukaryota; Metazoa; Arthropoda; Malacostraca; Decapoda; Lomidae
Description: tRNA-Trp
Source: RNAcentral
AAGAUUUUAAGUUAACUAAAACUAGGGUCCUUCAAAGUCCCCAAUAAAAGACAUUCCUUUUAAAUCUUA